CAGGUAGUGAUGAGUCUUUAACACACAGUCACUCAGUCAGUCCAUCAUUACUGGGACAGUGUGGAGCUCAGUCCACUCCCUGUGGUGCUCUUGCUCAUUUCAUUGGUUCAAGCUGGACUUGCUCAAGGGAGAAGGAGACACUGGGUGGACAUACAGCUGGUAUAAGAAUAACUACAGUCUCUACCCAAACGUCACAUAUAAU
Electrophorus electricus (electric eel) is the source of this 202-nucleotide non-coding RNA. NCBI's taxonomy places the organism in Eukaryota, Metazoa, Chordata, Actinopteri, Gymnotiformes, Gymnotidae. The record is from RefSeq and is a predicted model, not a curated record.